RNAcentral lists this ribosomal RNA (231 nucleotides) under uncultured Staphylococcus sp. RNAcentral describes it as "partial 16S ribosomal RNA". It matches the Rfam family "Bacterial small subunit ribosomal RNA", at positions 109 to 334 of the family's 1533-position model. Lineage: Bacteria; Bacillati; Bacillota; Bacilli; Caryophanales; Staphylococcaceae. The record is from RNAcentral.
AGUAACACGUGGAUAACCUGCCUAUAAGACUGGGAUAACUUCGGGAAACCGGAGCUAAUACCGGAUAAUAUAUUGAACCGCAUGGUUCAAUAGUGAAAGACGGUUUUGCUGUCACUUAUAGAUGGAUCCGCGCCGCAUUAGCUAGUUGGUAAGGUAACGGCUUACCAAGGCAACGAUGCGUAGCCGACCUGAGAGGGUGAUCGGCCACACUGGAACUGAGACACGGUCCAG